This 676-nucleotide long non-coding RNA is filed under the name Panax ginseng (ginseng). RNAcentral's name for it is "long non-coding RNA (PGIN_LNC007152)". The record is from RNAcentral. Lineage: Eukaryota; Viridiplantae; Streptophyta; Magnoliopsida; Apiales; Araliaceae.
UUCAGAUAGCUUUUGAUGCCUGAAAACUUAGUUUCCACUGUUUAAUCUUUAGUAUGUUACAAAGCACGAGCUUACAGGUGUUUAGAAAGAAGAAUAACUCAGUUUAGAGCACUCUAGUAUGGGUUACAGGCUGAAAUGGACAGAGUUUUGUCUCCUUUUUCCUUUUUUUCAAAUGAGUUGCCAAGAGCUCAUAUUUAAAGACCAGAUGGCUAUAGGUCAACCCAUGGCAGCCGCGAGUCUACCUUUGGUUGCUCUGGCUGAAGACAUGCGUCCAAAAAUCAUUUACAAUCAAGUAGUUGAUUGUGAGGAAAGUAGGACUAAUAGAUAUCAAAUAUAUAAGGAGCUCUUCCGAUCUAGAAUGACCAAUGACACUACAGUACAGACACAUGUCCUAAACAUGAUCAAUUUGAUUGAAUAAUUAAGAUAAUAGGUUUUGUCAUGGAUGGAGAGUUGAGCCAAGAUUCGAUCUUACACUCACUCCCGGACUCCUUUCAAAAUUGUUGUGAAUUUUUCAUAUGAACAAGCUAGAUAUCAGCUUCGCUGAUUUGCUUAACAUGUUGGAAAAUGUUGAGAGUCAAUUUCCAACCAUGAAAGACCAAGUCUUACUGGUAGGGGCCAAAGGAUCUUCUGAAAAGAAGAACGAUUCAAAGAAGGUAAAUAGAAAGGAAAAAACAAA